This is a long non-coding RNA of Brassica rapa (field mustard), 1726 nucleotides long. RefSeq lists it as uncharacterized. The record is from RefSeq and is a predicted model, not a curated record. Lineage: Eukaryota; Viridiplantae; Streptophyta; Magnoliopsida; Brassicales; Brassicaceae.
AUAAAUAUUGUUAAUUAAUUAUUUAACUGCAGUUGUAUUUGGUGGUUAACCAGACAUAAAUUGUUUAAAAUUGCAACUACCCGCAUCCGCAAACCGCUGCUGCGGUUACACUAGUCAGGCCCUAAAUCGGUCGACAGCAAGGCCUCGUCCUUCACCUUCACCUGCCUCCUUAGUUUCAAACCCACCUGAAAAUCUGACGUCUGUAACUCUUCCUGGUGAUCGCUCCAACUCCCUCUGUUUCUCUCAUUAUAUAAAUCCCUUCUCCGUACAAAGCUCGAAGCACGUUCUUCAAGCUCCAUGCAACCACAUCAGGCAAUUGGCAAUGAGAUCGGAAAAAUCCAGCAGCAAUUCUCCAUUUGUCUGUUUUUCUGGCGACAUCCCAGGGACGGAUCUAAGUUCCCAUUUAAUCCACUUCUGGAAGGCUAGAAACACUGCGAAAACUGGUUCUUAUUGAAGAGCGGUGAUGCAAAUCGUGGUCCAAGAUACCAACCUCACCUCAAACCGGGAACCACUUAUAUCCUCAUAAAAAUCGUUGCUGAUCACAGUUUAAUGUCAGACAGGUUCAGGUUCCACUUAUAUGAAGAUUUUGAAGCCAACUUUGGGCUCAAGCGACAUCUAUAGUAAGUUUUAUAUCCUCUACAACUUAUUCACUUACCUGUUGUGUAAUCGAAUAAUGUAGAUGUUGUUAGACACAUGAAGCUAAUCAAUGGACAGUCUCUCAUAGACUAACCCGUCCCUGAUAAAGUGGGAAUAAAAACUGUAUCUUGGUUCAUUUACAACCUAACGAGUAUGUUGUUUGCAGUAUAUGUUAGUCACAACGAUCAACACUAGACGAAUUGGUGGUAAUCAUUAGUCCCUUUUGCAUAACUACCUCCGUGCUUUGGUCUUUGAUUUUUUUUGUUUUGCAAAUCAUGUGUGAAUGUAAGAUCGUGACACAUAAUGGUGAGACAGGAGAGAUUUUAAGCUCCUGUAAAAAAAAAAAAAAGAAAGAGAUGUCCAUGCACAGAAAGAAGAGAACAAUAUAUAGAGGAUUUAGUUCUUCCAUUGGCAAGGAACUUCCAGAACGGAAAUGGCCUAUCCAGAUAUCACUUUAAGAGAGAGAAGCACAAGUUCUAAUGUUAUGUUUCAGAGGAUGAACAAGCACUAGACUAUAUCUCACCUCAGAUUGAUUAACCGAAGGCUAAGGGUGAGUCUGUAUCUAGUGGAGGUGCUCUAAUUUUUUCUGAUGAGCGGUAAGAGAUUUCAUCACGGGAACACUGGACUUCAAGUACGAGGAUAUGACAACUUUAAACAAAACAGACAAAAGUGUCGAGGCAGAGAAGCGAAGCAGUAUAUGUUAAAGAAGAUCCAGCUGAAGGAAAAUUCAAGGAUUGCAUCACAAAGCAGUGGUGGUGGAGACCCGUCACAUGUGUAUCAGUGUAUGAUGUACUCAAAGGUCCACGAUCUACUUCAUGGUAACAAUCUCUCGCUAAGAUAGAUCUUUUAACCGGAGUGUAAGUAGCAAUGUGGAAUCUUUCUCUGGCAAAGAAGCUUUGGUUCAUUUGUAGAGUCAUCAUGGUUUAGUUUAUAUGAUAUAUCAAGUUUUGGGUGAUGGUUUUCACAAAGUUUUUAACUUUUAUUUAUUUAUUUGGUUUGUGUUUUAUUUUUCAUUUGUAAUGUGAACAGGGUUUAGAAAACAAUAGUAUUUUGGUCAACUUUGGAUUCAAUUUAUUCAUGUAAAAAUACA